Long non-coding RNA from Peromyscus eremicus (cactus mouse), 870 nucleotides. RefSeq lists it as uncharacterized. NCBI's taxonomy places the organism in Eukaryota, Metazoa, Chordata, Mammalia, Rodentia, Cricetidae. The record is from RefSeq and is a predicted model, not a curated record. The transcript is spliced from 2 exons.
UCCACUUCCUCCACUCAGUGCUGGGAUCCUGUCUGCCUUGAAACUGUCUAGGUUGAGAUACUGCUCGUCCAUGUUAGUUACUGCUUUAUUCACAAUAUCCAGAAAUUGUAAACAGCCUACACGUCGACUAAAUAAUGAAAAACGUGGUACAUUUAUGCAAUGGAAUAUUACUCAGUUGUUAAAAAGAUAAAUUAUGAAAUUUGCAGGUCUGUGUCUUGCUAACCUUCAUCAGAGAAGUGUCUUCUUGGUGUCGAUGGGAAUCAGCACAGGACCCACAACUGGACAACGUGGACACACUGGACUUUGAAGCACUGGACCUUAGGCUAAGUGUUUCGAAUGAGUUACUUUAAAAUAAUUUCUACAAAGCUAUAAUUUCGAACAAAACAAAACAAGCCAACAAACAAACAAACUGAUAACCAGAGAGAAUAACUCUUUCAACAUCAUAUGAAUAGGAAGUACAUGAGAAGGAUACUACUCUCCAGAAUAUUAUUCUGGGGCUUUUAAGCACCUUGAAGGUCUAUGUAUGUACAAGAGUGUCUUGUUUCUACUUUGUUUGUGUAGUAAGUGUGAGCAGGGCCCACCGAGGCCAGAAGAGGACAUCAGGUCCCUGGGACUAGAGAUACAGAUGGUUGGGAACCACCAUAUGCAUACUAGGAAUUGAACUUGGGUCCUCUGGAACAACAGCCAGUAUUCUUACCCACUGAGCCAGCUCUCCAGCCCCCGAGCACUGCGAAACAAGUCUGGAUAAUGAGAAGAAACAGGAAGAUUGUUGAGAAGCCAACUAAUAUACAAAGAUACAUAAGGUGAAAAGUGGGAAAGGCAAUUAUGUGAUCCACAUCUGUAUGUAAUGAAAAAUAACCAGUUCAUAAA